Stegodyphus mimosarum is the source of this 73-nucleotide non-coding RNA. Lineage: Eukaryota; Metazoa; Arthropoda; Arachnida; Araneae; Eresidae. The record is from Rfam.
GUCUUCGUGGUGUAGUGGUCAGUACGCUCGACGCGUAACCGAGAGUUCCAUGGUUCGAUUCCCUGCGAUAGCG